This is a long non-coding RNA of Melanotaenia boesemani (Boeseman's rainbowfish), 497 nucleotides long. RefSeq lists it as uncharacterized. Lineage: Eukaryota; Metazoa; Chordata; Actinopteri; Atheriniformes; Melanotaeniidae. The transcript is spliced from 2 exons. The record is from RefSeq and is a predicted model, not a curated record.
ACGGUUCUGCAACAUGUCCUUCUCUACCUGAGCUUUAGGUGGGGCUGUGCAGGUUUCAGUCAGCCUGGGGCGGAGUCCGGUCUGCUCUUUCCUCCGCAGCUGCUUUCCAUCAACCCUCAUCAAGCCUCCCUUUAUGAGGACUGCAGGAGCAACCAGACCUCGCCAGAUUAUCUCACUGUUCUUGUGCCUUGAUACACUCCAGCAUUCCAGUCAUCUGACCUCCAGUCCUCCUCCUCCGAUCGUCAGCUGUAAACCUUGCCACCUGCCUGCUCGCCCUUCCACCCUUCAGCUCAGGAUCCAGCCAUGACAGCCUACCUCCUCCUUCAUUCCAGUUUACAUUUGGAUACAGUAAGCCGCUCACCAGCUUGGCAUCACAGGAUUCUGUUGUUUAGAACUCCACUCACCAUUUUCCUCUCCUCCCAGAGAACCUGAACCCCGGACACUCUCCAGCUCGGACCAUCCAGAUCCCUUGUGUGAAAUAAACCUGUUCUGCCAUU